GCCGAGACUCGUGCCAACAUUCAUUCGGGGUGUGUGUAUAAAAGCAACCAUUUUUUUCCCCAUUUCCUACAUCUGCUCUCCUAACUACAACUAAAUUCCGAUAUCGUUUCUCAUAUAUUUUACACAUUUCAGCUGCUCUUCUGAGUGUUUGAUUCUCCUAAGCAUGGACCAGAGGUUGAGGGAUGCAGCUCAAGCAGGAGAUAUUAAUGGCUUGUAUCGUCUAAUCCAGGAAGAUGCAACUGCUUUUGAGGCGGUCCAGCAAGUAGGAGAUAUUCGUCAGAGGUUGAGGGAGGCCGCUCAAGCAAGAGAUAAUGACGGCUUCUAUAAUCUAAUCCGAGAAAAUGCGAAUGUUUUGGAGGCGGCUCAAUUACGAGAUAUUGGUCAGAGGUUGAGGCAGGCCGCGGAAGCAGGAGAUAUUGACGCCUUGUAUGCUCUAAUCGGUGAAGAUGCUCGUGUUUUGGAACGUAUUGAUGAGGUGCCUUUUGUUGACACACCAUUACACAUAGCUGCAUCUGCAGGACAUAUUGAUUUUGCCAUGGAGAUAGUGAACUUGAAGGCAUCGUUUACCGGGAAGCUAAACCCAGAAGGUUUUAGCCCCAUGCACCUUGCUUUGCGGAACGAGCACAUGCUAAUGGUGAUGUGGCUCAUAGAUGUUGACGGAAACCUUGUCCGUGUCAAAGGAAAAGGGGGUUUCACUCCUUUGCAUCAUGCAGCUGAAAAUGGAAACUUGUCUAUUUUGAGAGAAUUUUAUAAAGGUUGCCCCGAAUCUAUCAAAGAUGUUACCUUCCAAGGCGACACUGCUUUACACAUUGCAGUAAAGAAACACCAAAAGGAUGCUUUUGAAUUUUUGUUGAUGGAAUGGCUUAGGCAGUCUGAAUUCGAAGAUGCAGAUUUUUGGGAAGGAGAGCUCCUCAACUGGAAAAACAAGGAAGGUAAAACCGUUCUGCACAUUGCUGCUUCGGAUAGAUGGGAAGAUCGACAUGAGGUGUGCCUAGCUUCCAACCAAAAUUUACUACUCACAUUGGGUUUGAGUUUUCCAUAUAUAAAAAUAUAAAAUCUCUUUUGUAUAUUUUGUUAGUGAAUUAAUUAAUUAAUUCUUCUUGACUUGCUAAAGAUAUUUUGGGGAAAAGGAGAUUUUAUUGAUAGAUAGAGUGUAUUGAACAGAAGCUGAUAUAACAUUACAUCGAGCGCAAAUAUCCAACCCAAGAAUUAAUUAUGUUAUUGCAUAUCUUUGACCAAAUAGCAAUGUCUAUGUAGGUACUGGAAAUGUUGCUGGGAUGUCAUGCUAGAACUGAUAUAAAAGAUCUUGCUGGUUUGACGGCUAUGGAAAUCCUGAGAGACCAAGUUCGAUUAACGGAAAGACAAAUUUGGAAUAUGCAAGCAGCCGGUGCAGGAUUUUUGUUUCCAUUAAUAUUAUUUUAUAAAAGAGUGAUAUCUCUUGCACAUUCAGUCCGUCAGGAAGCUCAGACACCGAGAUCAAGGCCUUUGGAGUGGAAAUUAUGGCGGAAGAGGAAAUGGAAAUCCAGUGAGAAGCGCAAUAUAGAGCUGGUAGUUGAUACACUGGUUGCAACAGCCGUCUUCCAGGCAUCACUGAGUCCACCUGGUGGACUUUGGCAGGGUACUGCUAAUGCUGAUAUUAAUUCGCCUAUGCGCGUCAAUAACUCUUCAACUACUUCUGCAGCAACUUCUACACACUUCACGGGUACAUCAGUAAUGUCUAGGACCGACUUUCAUAUAUUUUUCUUUGCAAACUUGGUCUUGCUCGCCGUAACAGCUUGUCGAAUGACCGCACAUCUUAUGCAUGACGACGGCGGACCAUCAUUUAGUCUUUUAUCUGUUAAUUGGGUGAUUUUUUCUUACUUGUUUUCAUUGACAAUCAUAACACCGAAUAAGGAAAAGAUGGACUCUAGCAUCUUUAGGAUUACUCUUUAUAUAUUUGCUGUAUAUUCCCUUAUUGCAUUAUUCGCAGUAUAUUUUGUUAAGUACAUAUCAGUACCUAGCGAGCCUAGAGUAAAACCAAGAAGACGUCGCGUGAAAAUUCGUGACAGGAAAGAAUGGUGGUAAUGCAUAAAUAGACGUCACCUCUCGUUGUUGACGUUCUUCUUUCAAUACUAGCUUAGUUAACUAGCUUUGCCCGUGAAUGUCUGCAUGGAGAAAUUAUUUUAUGUAAUGGUUACUUUUUUGUAUGUAUUGCCAUAUAUAUUGGCGAAUUAUAUUUAAAAUUACAAGUUAUUUUUGUAUAUUAUAAGGAUAGAGAUUU
Molecule: unclassified non-coding RNA, 2260 nt
Filed under: Hevea brasiliensis (rubber tree)
Lineage: Eukaryota; Viridiplantae; Streptophyta; Magnoliopsida; Malpighiales; Euphorbiaceae
Source: RNAcentral